UUUUAUAUGAGAGGCAGAUCACGCCUCAGCUCUGGAUUCAUCCUAAACGGAGAGCAUGAAGUCGCAACCACCACCAACGACGACCAUGGCUAAAAAGGUCACUGCAAAGCACCAGAGAAAGGCCUUUUUCGGCGAAGAAGCAAUUGAUGACGGAGAAGGCGUUUUCUUGCGGAGAAGCAAUUGAUGACGACCAUGGCUCGUCAUGGCGUCAUGAUUGCCUACGGAGAAGGCAUUCUCCGGUCCAUGGAGAAGCAAUCAAAGAAUCAAUGCCGGCGGAAUAGAUCUUCGUCUCCUGCGGCAAUUCAGAACCUAUGUUAAUUAUUGUGUUGUUUUUGAAUUUGAUGUUGUCUGAUUUUUAGGUUAUGCUAUUGAAUUACUUGGAAAUGGGCUUUUCUUGAGAUUUUUUUGUUUAAUUUUAGUGGUGUUGUUUUGAGAUUUGAACUAUUGCUGCUUUGUUGUGUUUUGAGUUCGUUUAUGAAUCUAUUAGAGUGGUAGCCAGGAUAGCUGGUGGACCCAAACUUUCGUUCAUCUUGGGGCUUAAAAAAAAUCCAACCAAUAUAUAGCCAAACAAAAAAUAUUUGGGCUUAAAGUGAACUUGGUGG
Molecule: long non-coding RNA, 602 nt
Filed under: Prunus dulcis (almond)
Lineage: Eukaryota; Viridiplantae; Streptophyta; Magnoliopsida; Rosales; Rosaceae
Description: sRNA ncRNA
Source: RNAcentral